AUAUCAACAAGGCGUUCGACCUGCUGCACGAAGGCGGCUGCCUGCGGUGCGUGCUGGCCAUGGAGCACUGAGGAUCCUGCUAUGUGUCUCGCCCUGCCUCGAAGCGGAGCAGUUUGUGUCGUGUGAAGUUGUAAUGCAGAUCUAUCCUCCGCCCUGGGACUAUAGAACUCGUUUGGCCUAGAAACUCUUGAACACGAACCGCUGCUAUAAUAAUAUGUUGUGUUGGAUGGUUGCCUCUGGUUGGGGUCAUUACUGCUAGUGUGUUUUACUUGUUGACUCCACAAAUAUGUGCUGCAUGUUGGGGGUUUGGUGCGAUAUAUGCCAAAGGAUGGCUUAUCAUGGUGGGGGCAAGUAGAACGUCGCCGGUGCCUGGAAACAGGAUAAGGCGAAGACAUGCACGCCGGCGAAUCUUACCUAGCUUCGGAGCUCUCCGAGGAGAUAAUACCCCUACUGCUGUUUUGCGGGGUCUUUGCAUGAUCACUAUGACCAAGUGUUUACACGGUUGCUCCUUGAGCUGUUUUUUGGAGGUAGGAGAGGGCAAGGCUAGCUCUCUCCCUUCUAUAUGAUCUGGUCUAGAGCUAAUGGGUUUCAGCCCUUUGCAUGGGUGCCCUGGGGGGUUUAUAUAGGCCUAUCCCCCAGGGGUACAAUAGUAAUUCGGCUGGUCGCGGGCCCAGCCGUCAGUGCCUCUGGCCUCCGUCUUCUCUGUCGACCGCUGGGGCCCGCCGGCUGGUCUGGUACGGAGCCGACAGGCCGUGUUCGUCGCGGACGGGUCUUGCCGGCUGCUGAUUACUGUAGCCGUGUUUCUGAUGACGCAGGCUUGAUCAUGAGGUCGUGGCAACAGCCCCGCCGCCUGGCGGGCGAUCACUGUUGCCACUCCUCAUCACAUCUUGAUUAAUGGCGCGUGGGCCCCGGGGGAGGGCUCGGCCGACCUCCCUGGACCGACUCCCGACGGGUCCGACUGGUGGUUCUCCUGCCGUCCCCGAUGUCUCACUGACUGGUGGGGCUUGCUACCUCUAGGCCAUACAGACAAGCCGUCGUGGGUGCAUGAUUCGGCCCUGUGGUGCUGAUGUCAGGGCCGGCAUGUCAACAGUGCCACGCCGCACGGAGAUCUUCCCGGGUACGGCGUGCUGUGGCCAUGCCUGUCCUUGGUAAGGGGCGGGGGUGGGCUUCGCUGUAGCCACGCCCAUGCCCCGUCCCCUUUGAUGAAGUCAUGGGGUUUGUUGGAGUCGCAGGCCGACUCCCCGAAGCCGGCUUCUCUGGAAGUCGGCUCUCCUUGAAGUCGUCCCUGGGACUCGGCCGUGAGUGGUCAGUCGGCCAUCUUGCCGUUGACUUCUUGAAGGCGGUUCCUCGUCCUGGGGUCUUGAGGGGCGCAGCCUCCCCCAAUGUCUUGAAAGGUUCUGGGGCUCGGGUUGGCCUACCCGUGGCCCAGUACUCCGCGGACGAUCGGCCGAGAAGCCUCAGCAGUUUCUCUUUCCGGGUGCUCAACACAUGGUCUUUGAUGGACUUCUGCCGGCCGACUAGAAGGAGUCGGACUCGCUCGAUUCGGACUCACUCAAUUCCGGCUCGCUCAGUAUUUCGAACGUCGCGGCGGGAUUUAAGUGGCGUGCUAGCUAAGCCUCCAGGCCGCCGCCCGUUCUAGGCCUGUCACGCGAUGGCACGUGGCUGGGCCGUCCUACCAGCCUACGCGCGUGACGGGACAGGCCCAUAGGCGGGGCCCGCCACUACCGCGCCUCGGCGCCCGAGCGGAUCCGCUGCGGCCCCGGUGGACGGUUGGGAUUCCCGUGGAGUUACUGCGCGCAGUAACUUUAUCGUGGAACGUGGGGGACGUGGGGCCAUGGGCGCAGUAAAUCCCCACGUCCGCCCCUCGGCUUCGCAGCCCACGAGGCUAUAAGUAGGGGGAAGAGGGGGGCACGCGCGCCCCUCCUUCCCACUACUCCUCGCUCUCUUCCUUCCUCUUCUCCUCGCUCUCCUCCUUCUUCUUCUUCGCUUCGCCGCGCGCCCAAGCUCCGGCGAACGCCGCGGUGACAGCUCGUGAUGAGUUCUUCCUCCGCCGCCGUGCCUCCCCCGGUGCACUCCGGCACCUAGGACGGCUCCGAAGUUCAUGAAGACCACAUCGAGUUCCUCCACCGGACUCGUCGGCUCCCCAGCAAGGACCGCGUGCAGGUGCGUCUUGCGCCGAACGGGAGAUUUCUCCCGCGCCGCAGGAGGGCGAGCGGGUUAUCUUCCGCUCGCACUGCCUGCGCGGGCUAGGGCUGCCGGCGAGCAGUUUCUUCCGAUCCUUCCUGGAGUUCUACGGCCUCCAGUCGCACCACCUCACCCCCAACGCAGUGGUGCUGCUGUCCGCCUUCGUGGCCAUGUGCGAAGGCUUCCUCGGAGUCCUCCCCACCCUCGAGCUCUGGGGGGAGUUCUUCUUCUCCAAGCUCGGCACCCAGGCUGCGAGCGUGCCGGCUCAAUGCGGCGCCUUCAUCGUCGUGCGAAGGUCGGGGGCCGACAAUCCCUUCCCCUCCAUCUCGCUGAUAAAGUUGGUGAAGAUGUGGCAGAGAUCCUACUUCUACGUCAGGAACGCCUCCGCGAGGGGGGACUGGGUCAACCUGCCGGUUUUCGAAGCCGGCCCGCCGGCUGGGCGACUGCCCAACUGGUCGUACCGGGCCAAGUCGCUGACGCCUGCGGGAGCCGACGCCAUCACGCGACUCCGAGUGCUGACGCGGUCGGAGGGUCUGACCGGUCCGGACCUGCUGGCCAUCUUCGUGGCGCGCCGAGUUCUCCCACUCCAAGGCCGCCCCCAUAUGAUAUGCCAGAUGAGCGGGCACCGCGACCCGAGUCGGAUGUGCACCAAGGACAUGACUCACGAAGAGGUGGCCUUCAUGGUGAACUACCUCUCGGACAGCAGGCUCCUGGAGGAUUGGCGGUUCGGCAAGGAGCCGUACUCCCGCGCCAACCCCCCGCCCGUGGUGAGUCGCCUUUCCUUUCUUUCUUUGGAUUGUCUUCUUUCUUGCCGAGUUUUGUUUUGACCAGUCGGCUUUGGUUAGAAUCCCCUCCUCCACCCGCCAGCCGACACCUCGGGGCCGGCUCGCAAGUUCCUCGCCGACCGGGCGAAGAUCGACGUCGACGACCCCGAUCUGGGGGUGGCGGCUCUGGAAGACGACGCCAAGGGAGGAGGAGGAACAGCAGGCGACUUCAGGCCUUCGUCCACUUUCGCCGACUGGCCUGACGACGAUGCCGAGGGAGAAGUCGCCCCUCGCCAUCGGCCAGGAGCCAGCCAGCCUGGCGCGGGCUCUUCUACCGCGCCGGGCGCUCCAGGCGGCGGGAAGAAGCGCAGGGCCGUGCCGACCUUGUUCGGCAGUCGGCCGAAGAAGCCCAAGGGUUCGGCUGCGGCGACCCGGCCGCGAAGGCCAUCCGCUUCCGUAAGGAAGUGAAGAAGCCGCCAUUGGUCUCCGCGUAAGUAUUCUGUCUUAACACUUUGUUCUUUCUUUGUGACUUUGUCCGAGUCUCUGCUUGCCCCUCUUGCUUCAGGCUCCCCUCUCUCUUGAGAGGGUCACCACCGCCUCCGUUAUGGGGUCAGCGGAGACGUCCGCCACCACUUGGUGGAUUGACCCCGCUGCUGACCUCCGGGAGGCGACGGAGCGGAAUGCGCAGGAGAAGCGCAACGAAGAAGAGGCCCUCCGCCUGAAGAAGGCGGAGGCCGACAGGGCGGAGGCCUCCGCCAAGAAAAAACUGGCGGAGGCCGAAGCCGCCGCCGCGACGAAGCGAAAGGCUGAGGAAGCCGCGUGCCGCCAGUCGGCGGUGUUCGUCACCCCGCUGAACUCUGCACCGCCGCCUCCGGAGUUCACGGGGCAGACUGGGGAGGCCGGCGGGGAGAACCCCGUCGUGGAGAAGGAAGGCGGCGACCCCUCCACGCCGGACGUGAACGUUCCGCCGCCGCCUCCGCCGCCGUCUGAAGGUGCGCAAGGCAGGCAGCCAGCGGACCCUCCGGUGCCGCCGACCGAAGACGAGGCCGUGGCGAGGCUACUCCUCCAAGUCGGCUCGCCAACGCGCCGCCGUUUGGAGAAGGCGACUUCGACACCCCGCCCCCUGGAAGCCGGCACCGCCAGCUCGGCGAUCCCAGAUGCCAAAGCGACGAGCGUUGCGCCCAUUGGAUGGGUGCGAGGAGGCGACACAGGGCCGCUGAACCAGGCGCUUCUGGACAUCCAGGCGAAGCUUCGUGCCGAGGGCGACGCUCUUCAGAAUUGCACCAAGGCGUACUUGCCGUCACGGGCAGCCGUCCGGGUAUGUUUUUCUCCUUUGGCCUUUGUUUUCUUGUUCCUCUCUGGCGGGGCGCGCCAGCGCACCCAUUGGGUGUAGUCUCCGAGUUUCGGGCGGGCUGCUGAGCAGGCGGCCCGGAACUCCAAUUGAUGAACUCUCGGUAUUGACUUUUUGUGUGAAAUGCUUGUCACAGGAUUACCACAACCUCCGUGUCACUGCCUUCAACCGUAACGUUGAAGAGCUGGGAAAGCGGACCGCCGAUUUGUCGGAGAGCCGGAGUAAGUCUUUUUCCUUCUUCGCGGGGGCGCGCUGGCGCACCCGCGGGCUGUAGUCCACGAGAUUCGGGCCGACUGCUGAGCAGUCGGGCCGGAUCUCCCUGGCGACCUUCUUUACUGAUGACUUGACGCCUUCUUUCUUUCUUCUUCUUAGGGGCCAACGCUGCUCUUCAGCAGCAGCUGAGCGACACCAACUCCACUUUGCGCGCCAAAGAGGAGGAGUGCAGCAAGCUCGCCAUGGAGCGCGAUCUGCUGGCCACUCAAUUGGCAUAGCAGAAGGAGCUGCUUCUGAAGACGCAGAGGGAGGCGGAGGACACGGAGACCGCCCUCCUGGCCGAAUUCGCGAGCGAGCGCUCCUCCUGGUCCGACAAGGAGGCGCUCCUGGCCUCCGGCUUCCACGAGAUUGAAGACAUCGUUGAUGGUGAGUUUGUUUACUUUCUUUCUUCGGGCUUCCGAUUUAAGUCGUGCCGACUCCCAGUUUUUGACUUGCUUCUUUGUUUCUUCCUGUCUUUGCAGACUUCUUUCCUGGGCAGUCGCAGGCCGCCAUCUAAGCCAUCGAGGCUGACCAUGAAGGUCGGAGGUCGGACGUCGCAGAGAUUGCCGCCGACGCCCCCCGAACUCUUGACGAGCACAUCCUGAGCAUCGAGGCUCGCCCUCGGCCGGCUCAUCGGAUGCUGCACCGGCUUCAGCAUGUCGGUGCCCAGGCGAUUGCCGCCCUGUGGCCGGAUAUGCAGGCUCCGCGCACCCCCAGCCUGACGGCCGACUGGCUGGAGGUCGCGGCUGGUCGUCUUGAGGCCUGGAAGGGCUCUUCGGCCCGAGCUGGAGUGCGCCGGGCCUUGGAGUUCGUCAAGGCAUGGUAUCCGGGGUUGGACCUAGACCGGCUGGCCAUGCUUCGGUCGGGAGCCCAGCUGGAGCUGGCAGCCGCGAAAGAUGCCCUCGUCAAGCGUGCUACGGCGAUCGCUGAGUACACCGACACCAGCAUCUUCGUCCCCGAGCGGUCUGAAGACGGCGAGGAGGUACCGCCGGAGUGGUUUGGGAUGAACCCAGACUACGGCGAGGACUCGGCAGAGGUGAUUGGCUCCAGCGUCGAGGAAGAGGGCGAGGCGGAGGACGGAGGCGAGGCGGAGGCACCAGAAGACGGAGCAGACGGCCAGCCUUAGCUCGAUCGUGCCUCCAGCAACGAGCCGCGUGCGACCGACCCGACUGCCGCCGGAGGCGAUCAAGCCGAGACUAGCCAGCCGGCUGCCCCGACGCCUGGCGCUGGCGCCUCCUCCAACCCUCCGAAUCCGUCUGCUGCUUCCUAAGCUACCGCUGUAUCUUUGUUUUGUCUGCUUCAGUAGUCUUUGAAGAACUCGUUAAUUCGCACAAUUCCACCCGCGGGGUGUAUUUUGAACCUCUGCUCGAAAUUUCGGCCAAGGGCCUAUGUUAUGUAAAUAUAUUUAUCCGAGUUCUAUCUUUUUCGUGCUCAUUGCUCUUUUGGCUUUUUUCCUUUGCCGCUUUCUCUUAGUUGCCUUCCUUGUCAAUCGGACAGCCGCUCUGCGGACUGUUGCUGGAUCAAGUGCUUGGCUACUUUGGGAAAGCAAGUACUUAGCCGUUUUCAAGAGUUUUUUGAGCAAGUUGGAUAGAAGACGGCAAUCCGACUAUUCGAGAGUCGGUUUUGCGAAAAAGGCUAGAAGCUAUCUUGAGCUAUGUUUUAUGCUUUAAGUCCUUAGCCAUUUUUCAUGCGAAUGCCCAUUCUACCUUACUGCUGCCCACCGUACAGUCGCUCUGCGAGCUGCGGCUUCUGACAGGAGACGGUUUAGGCGUUUACACACUACUUGUCCGACUGCAGGAAGCAUUUCAUAGUGCAAGGUGGCAAGUCCCCGGGCCGACUUGUCGAGCCCGGUGCCAAAUGGCAUGACAAAGAGUAACAUACUUGUAGGCAUAAUUUUUAUCAUACAGACAAAAGAGGGCAGUCCCCGAGCUCGUCUCGGGGGGCCCGAAGUCUUGGUACUUUAAUACAAAAGGUAGCAUGGUACAUACUGCAUCAACUGUAAAAAAUUUGGAGGAGAUUUGCAUUCCAUGGCCGCUCUGUCUCCUUGCCGGAGUCGUCCCUCUUGCGUGCUCGGGGCUUCUGAGCGUCAAUCAGGUAGUAGGAGUCGUUGCCCGGUACUUUGCUGAUGAUGAAAGGGCCUUCCCAAGGCGCCGACAGCUUGUGCUGGCCGGCUGUUCGCUGGAUCAGCCGGAGCACAAGGUCGCCUUCUUGGAAAGAUCUUGGCCUGACCUUCCUGUUGUGGUAUCGGCGCAGGCUCUGUUGGUAGAUGCUGGACCGGCUGAGUGCCAACAGCCGGCCCUCUUCCAGCAGAUCGACGCCGUCUUGUCGUGCUUCUUCUGCUUCCUCCUCGGUGUACAUGGUGACUCGUGGGGAGUCAAACUCUAUGUCCGUUGGGAUGACGGCUUCGGCACCGUAGAUGAGGAAGAAGGGCGUGAAGCCAGUUGACUUGUUUGGAGUCAUGCGCAGACUCCAGAGGACGACUGGCAGCUCGUCGAGCCAGUAGCCAGCCGAGCGCUCCAGAGGUUCGAUCAGCCGAGGCUUGAUGCCGGACAGGAUGAGGCCGUUUGCUCGCUCCACUUGGCCGUUUGACUGCGGAUGGGCGACGGACGCUAGGUCCAGUCGGAUGCCCUGUGUUGCGCAGAAACGGGCCAAGGCGCCUUUGGCAAAAUUUGUGCCGUUGUCGGUGAUGAUGCUGUGUGGUAUGCCGUACCGAAUUGUGAUAUCGGCGAUGAAAGUCACGGCAGUUGGACCGUUCAGCUUCUUGAUUGGCUUUGCUUCUAUCCAGUUGGUGAACUUGUCCACUGCGACAAGUAAGUGAGUUAAACCACCUCGUGCUGUCUUGAAUGGUCCCACCAUGUCUAGACCCCAAACUACGAAAGGCCAGGCAAUGGGGAUGGUCUUGAGUGCAGAAACUGGCUGGUGCGGCUUGGAGCUGAACUUCUGGCAGCCUUUGCAUUUUUGGACCAACUCCUUGGCCUCUUCCAAGGCAGUUGUCCAGAAGAAGCCGUGUCGAAGGGCUUUGGCGACGAGUGCUCUUGAAGCCGCAUGGUGGCCGCACUCGCCUUGAUGGAUGUCUUUGAGAAUCGCUUGGCCUUGCUCUGGCUCUACGCAGCGCUGGUAGACACCAGUGAUGCUGCGCCUGACCAGCUCUCUGUUGACUAUGGUGUAGGCUGCCGCCCGGCUUGUAUUUGCCGAGCUGAGGUUUCAUCAGUCGGCAGCUCUUUGUUCACCAGGAAUUUGAGGAUGGGCUGGGCCCAUGAGGGUGCUGCUAUUUCUUCGACUGCCAGAACUACGACUUGGACGAGGGCGGUUGGGCUGGGAGGCGGCGGGUUGGAUUCAACAGCCGCUUGCUAGGUUGAUGAAGUCCCCAGGCCGACUGGCGCGGUCCUUGGGCCAAGUUCUGGAGUCUUCGAGUCCUCCACCGCAGUCCCCGGGCCGGGUUCGACUGUGGCGGCUUUGGAGUCAUCUGCCAAAAUCCCCGUACCGACUGCUGGAGCUCUGGAGUCGGAUCCGACAUCUUCGGGAGGAGCCGGCACAAAAAUGGAGUCUGAUUCUGAUGAAGGCUUGACAGACGGCUUGAGGAGGCGUUGAAGGGCGAUGCCAGAUGGUAUUGCUUGGCGGGUAGAGCCGAUUCGCGCCAAGGCAUCUGCUUGGUCGUUGUCGUUUCUUGGCACAUGGAGAAACUCGCACCCUUCGAAGUACCCGCUGAGUUGCUGCACGAGGAAACGGUAACUCGCCAUGUUUGCAUCUUUAGCGUCCCAGUCGCUAGAUGAUUGCUGGACCACUAAAUCCGAGUCACCAUAACACAAGAUCCGACGGAUGCCAAGUUCUUUGGCAAGCCGGAGCCCGUGAAUGAGCGCCUCGUACUCGGUGACAUUGUUGGAGGCGGCAAAGUGGAUUUGCAGCGCGUAUUUGAGCUUAUUGCCUUUGGGAGAGGUGAGGACGACACCGGCUCCCAAGCCGGUGCGCAUCUUGGGGCCGUCGAAAUGCAUCCGCCAAUGGGUGGAGUCAGGUGCUGGAGGUAGGUACUGGGUCUCGGCCCAGUCGACGAGGAAGUCGGCCAGUGCUUGUGACUUGAUAGCGGUGCGGGGCUGGUAGUGGAUGGUGUAAGGAGCCAGCUCUAUGGCCCACUUGGCCACUCGACCAGAAGCAUCUCGGCUACCGAUGAUCUCGGCAAGUGGGGCCGUGCAGACCACCGUGAUUGGAUGCUCUUGAAAGUAAGGCUUCAAUUUCUUGGCAGCAAAGUGUACGCCAUAGCACAUCUUCUGGUAGUGGGGGUAGUUCUGCUUGGAGGUCUACAGUACCUCGCUCAGGUAAUAUACCGGUCUCUGGACAGGUAGCGCCUUGCCUAUCUCGUUGCGUUCCACUACAAUGACCGUGCUGACUACUCGGCUGGUGGCGGCGAUGUACAGGAGUAUAGGUUCCUUUGGAGUCGGAGCCGCCAGGACCAGUGGAGUAGUCAGCAUCUUCUUCAACUGGAGAAAAGCUUCGUCCGCCUUAUGGUUCCACUCGAAAAAAGUGGUCUUCUUCAUGAGUUGGUAUAAGGGGAGAGCUUUCUCGCCCAGCUGGCUGAUGAAUCGGCUGAUGGACGCCAAGCAGCCGGUGAACUUCUGCACAUCCAGCAGUCGGCUGGGUACCUCCAUUCUCUCAAUGGCCUUGAUUUUUACUGGGUUGCAUUCUAUGCCGCGUUCAGAGACCAGGAAGCCUAGGAGCUGGCCGGCUGGUACUCCGAAGACACACUUCUCGGCGUUGAGCUUGAUCUGGAAUCGGUGCAGGUUCUCAAAGGUCUCCUUGAGGUCUUCCAGCAGUGUUCCACGCUUUUCCGUCUUCACCACCACGUCGUCUACGUAGACUUGGGCGUUCAUGCCGAGCUUCUUAAGGAGGCACUUCUGCAUGCAACGCUGAAAGGUGGCGCCGGCAUUCCUUAAGCCGAACGUCAUGGUGAGGUAGCAGAAGGCUCCAAACGGCGUGAUGAAGGCGGUCUUCAGUCUGUCAGCCGGGUUCAGCUUGAUCUGGUGAUAUCCUGAGUAUGCAUCCAAAAAACUCAACAGCUCGCAUUCGGCUGUGGAGUCUAUCACCUGAUCGAUUCUUCGUAGAGCAAAUGGGUCCUUGGGGCAGGCCUUGUUGAGGCUUGUGUAGUCAAUACACAUUCGCCACUGCUUGUUCUUCUUCAGUACCAGGACCGGAUUUGCUAGCCAUUCUGGAAAGAACACUUCCAUAAUGAAGCUGGCUGCUAAGAGUCGGGCCAUCUCUUCCCCGACAACUCUUCUCUUCUCUUCUGAUAGGCGGCGCAGGGGCUGCCUGGCCGGCUUUGCAUCAGAUUGGACAUGUAACUUGUGCUCGGCGAAUUCCAUCGGUACACCUGGCAUGUCUUUGGGGGGCCAUGCGAAGAUGUCCCGAUUCUCAUGGAGGAAAUCGACGAGCUCGCCUUCCUAUUUGCCGUCGAGGUUUGCACCUACGACGGCGUACCUCUCUGGGUGCUCCGGAUCCAAGGGUAUCUUCUUUGUCUCUUUGGCCGGCUUGAACGAACCCUCAGCCUCCGACUCUUUUGGGUUGGGCGAUACCUCAGGCUGUUUGCCGGCCAUCGCCACAACUCGCUCGAGGAGCCGCUUCUCGGCCGCGAUUACCAGGGACUCGGCCAGCCGACUGCUCUCAGCCGCGCAAGCAGACGACUUCCGGUAGUCGCCAACCACAGUCAGAAUUCCCCUGGAACUGGGCAUCUUCAUCUUGAGGUAGGCGUAGUGGGGGACCGCCAUGAACUUGGCCAAGGCGGGUCGGCCAAGCAGCGCAUGGUAUGGGCUCUCAAGGUCCACCACCUUAAACCAAACAGACUCUCUACGGAAGUGAUCUUUGUCCCCAAAGAGGACGUCCAUCAGGAUCUUGCCGAUCGGCGAGCAGGAAAGCCCAGGAACUAUGCCAUGGAACGCAGUUCGGCUGUUCUGAAGCUGUCUUUGCUUGAUUUCUAACUUCUCCAUGGUGUCCUUGUACAGGAUAUUGAUGCUGCUGCCACCGUCUAUCAGAACUCGCGAGAAACGCGCGGCUCGUCUUUCUGUAGCAAAGGUGGCAUCCAGGACCAAGGCAUAGGAGCCCGAACUCGGCAUCACUUCUGGGUGGUCAGCCCUGCUCCAGCUGAUGGGCUUCUCAGACCAGUGCAUUAACUCUGGCGUCUCCGACGCUACUGCGUUCACCUCUUGUCGCUGCAGCCGCCUGCUGCGUCGAUCAUCAGCCACACUGGUAAACACCACGUAGGCUUCGUGCUCUUCAGGGUAUUCGUCUUGUACUGCGCCGACUGGCCUGACAGCCGGCUACUGGGGCGGCGGCGGAGGCGGCUGCCCAGCAGGCGGGGGAGGCAGGAGGCCGUCUCCCUUGGCGAUCCUGGUGAGCCAGUGGCACUUCUGGGUGGUGUGAUUCGAUGGCUUUGCGCCACUGUGGAACUUGCAAGGUCCAUCCAAGGUCUGCUCAUAGGAGAAGGCCGGCAACCAGUUUGGCUUGCCGCCUUUCUGUCGCUUGGGCGGGGGCUGCUCAUCUGCCUGUUGGGCUUCAACGGUCGCGACCUGCCGGCUCCGGGGCCUUGCGCUUGUGGUCGCCCUGCUGUUGUCGCCAGCCGGCGUCUGCCGCUGGAGUUCUUGGAGCUUGAGGGACCACUUUGCCAGUUGUGCUAAUUUGAAUCUCCGCCUUCAUGGAGGAGUCGGCCGUGGCGUACUUGUCCGCUAUGAUCAGCAGCUCGUCGAGGGUUUCUGGCUCGUCGCAAAAGAGUUUGUGCUUGAGGAGGGUGCCUUCUCUGCACCCAGCUGUGAAGUACUCGAUGGCCUGCACCUCGUGCACGCCCUUGCAGGAGUUCCGAAGCUCGGCCCAAUGCGUGAGGUAGUCACGAGUCGACUCGUCGGGGCCUUGCACGCACAAGGAGAGCUGACGAGGUUUGGGAGGGCGCUUGUACGUGCUGGUGAAGUUGCAGACGAAUGCUUCGGUGAAGUCGACCCAGCUGUUGAUGCUGCGGGGCUUUAGGCUAUUCAGCCAUGUCCGGGCCGUGCCCUGGAGCAUGAGCGGAACAUACUUUACGGCGACACGCUUGUUGCCGUUUGCUAUGCUGACAGCCGUGGAGUAGUCGACUAGUCAGUCUUCCGGCUUCACGGAGCCGGUAUACUUGGGCGUGUCUCUUGGGAGCGUGAACCCUCUGGGAAAGGGCUCGUCCCGAAUGCGGGGCCCGAAACAAGGUGGACCCAGCUCGUCUUCUUCUUCCAGCGCUAAGGAUCGGUGAAGUCGAUCGAUCCGGUGGCGGGCGUCAUUCUCUCCAACUCCUUCUCGGCGGCCAAGGCGAUCAUCGAGAGUCGGAUGGUCAACAGGCGGUGGGGAGACUAGCCUCUCCUUGCGGGGAGGGGGAGGCGGACAGUCGUCCCGUCGUUCCACUGCUCUUGGGCGGCCGUCUCGGUCACGCUCUAUGGUGAUGCGAGUCCGACUGUGGCUGACAGCCGGCUCCUUGUCUCUUCUUCCUCGGGCGCCGCCAGUCGGCGUCCGAGACGUCGCGCCUUGAUCUCGGUGAAGGUCAUCGUUGGGCCGUUGAGGCGCUUCCGUGCGGCAGCCGGCCUCGUUCUGCGCGGCAGCCGCGUUGAGGAGCCGCUGGACUCGCUCCAUCAUGAGGCGGCGUUCUUCGCCCUCGAAAUUGUCCAGCUCAUUCGCCGCUGCCUGGGGGCUCGGAUGUUCUCCGCUGGUGUAGCGUACACAGGGCGGCCUGCCCCAGACAGGUUGGCGAUGGCUACGCCGCGCUGCUGGACCGCGCCAAGGCGGCUGGGCCCCGCCGGGGCCGGCGAGCCGCCGACGGCGCGAUCCAUCUCCCGCUGGUAGGCUUCUGACAAGCGCCUCAUGCUGGCCAGCUUCUUCGCGCCUUCAACGAGCUGAAGGCGGGGCGCCUCCAACGUCUCUGCGUCAGCGUCUUCCGGAAUGGGUGCAGUUAGGUCUUGCAGCACCACGCCGAGUGAGUCGUGCGCUCCUCCGCCGGGAAGCUCGUCAUGACUGAUGACUAGCACCUCGGUGACAGUGCUUCCGUUGCUCUCCGCGCGAGGGAGAGGUUCGUCGUAGACCACCACAUUGGUGGGGAACGCGUCGAGCGACGCGGUGUCGGAGUCGACCAGCAUCGGGUCGGUGGAGCCUACGGACUCCAAGUCUACGGCGGGCUCGCCGGAAACGUGGAGUUGGUCGAGGAGGCCCGCGAGGAGGUUCUCGGGGCCGCCCGUGCCUGCGUCGGACGCAGGUUCGUCGGAGAGGAGGACCUUGCCGACAAGUUCGGCCAAGGAGCUGGCCGCGCAGGCGAUCUCAACGCCGCUUAGCGCGUCGGUGCAAACUCCGUCUGGCGUGCCUGGCUGGCUGCGCUCGCCAGGGAGGAAAAGGGUUGCCGUCUAGAACAGAUCUCCGGACGGCGGUGCACCACGCCCCACGGUGGGCGCCAAAUGUCGGGGGUUUGGUGCGACAUAUGCCAAAGGAUGACUUAUCAUGGUGGGGCGAGUAGAACGUCGCCGGUGCCUGGAAACGUGAUGAGGCGAAGACAUGCACGCCGGCGAAUCUUACCCAGCUUCGGGGCUCUCCGAGGAGAUAAUACCCCUACUGCUGCUCUGCGGGGUCUCCGCAUGAUCACUAUGGCCAAGUGUUCACACGGUUGCUCCUUGAGCUGUUUCUUGGAGGUAGGAGAGGGCAAGGCUAGCUCUCUCCCUUCUAUAUGAUCUGGUCUAAAGCUAAUGGGUUCCAACCCUUUGCAUGGGUGCCCUGGGGGGUUUAUAUAGGCCUACCCCCCAGGGGUACAAUAGUAAUUCGGCUGGUCGCGGGCCCAGCCGUCAGUGCCUCUGGCCUCCGUCUUCUCUGCCGACCGCUGGGGCCCGCCGGCUGGUCUGGUACGGAGCCGACAGGCCGCGUCCGCCGCGGGCGGGUCUUGCCGGCUGCUGAUUACUGUAGCCGUGCUUCUGAUGACGAGGGCUUGAUCAUGAGGUCGUGGCAACAGCCCCGCCGCCUGGCGGGCGAUCACUGUUGCCACUCCCCAUCACAUCUUGAUUAAUGGCGCGUGGGCCCCGGGGGAGGGCUCGGCCGACCUCCCCGGGCCGACUCCCGACGGGUCCGACUGGUGGUUCUCCUGCCGUCCCCGAGGUCUCACUGACUGGUGGGGCCUGCUACCUCUAGGCCGUAUAGACAAGCCGUCGUGGGUGCAGAAUUCGGCCCUGUGGUGCUGAUGUCAGGGCCGACAUGGCAACAAUGCCAUGCCGCACGGAGAUCUUCCGGGGUACGGCGUGCUGUGGCCAUGCCUGCCCUUGGUAAGGGACGGGGGUAGGCUUCUCUGUAGCCACGCCCAUGCCCCGUCCCCUUUGAUGAAGUCAUGGGGUUUGUUGGAGUCGCAGGCCGACUCCCGAAGCCGGCUUCUCUGGAAGUCGGCUCUCCUUGAAGUCGUCCCUGGGACUCGGCCGUGAGUGGUCAGUCGGCCAUCUUGCCGUUGACUUCUUGAAGGCGGUUCCUCGUCCUGGGGUCUUGAGGGGCGCAGCCUCCCCCGAUGUCUUGAAAGGUUCUGAGGCUUGGGUUGGCCUACCCGUGGCCCAGUACUCCGACACUGCAACUGCAACUUAAGGCCAUUUAUUUUGAGGAUUAUGGGUGGCUGUCAAAAUAAGCUACCCCUACCCGUUUUAUUCUAGCAGACCAACGUAAACUUCCAUUCUAAAGCCUACUUCUAUGCGUCUAGGGCCCUGUUUGGAAUCUCUCUGCUCCACUCUCCGGAGCUGCGGAGCUCGGUUUGAGCAGCUCCAUAAAAAACUGCAGUAGCCUGCUCCGCCCCGGGAGGUGAGUCACGGGAGCGGAUAGAAACCGAACAGGCUCUUGAUACACUAAUUUCAGACGGUUAAUUCCAGAUGGAGGUUGUACUAGCUAAUCCUUCAUUAUUAUUUUUAGAAUAAAAUUUUAGGUUGGGCUGUCAAAAUAAGCUAAAGCUGGGUAGGGCGAGAGCCACUCAUAAGCGUCCCUGCACCACGCCACCAACAAAAAUUGGCAUUGGCUUUUAUCCUAGUCGAAUAUCAGCUUGAAGUUCUAUAGAAAUCUAAAUAAACAGGUAUGCGUAUCUGGGUUGUUUGAUAAAAAGAAGCAUAUAGUAUUCUGAUGCUUAUAGAACGAUGAUGUGAAGAUUUUGCAGUAUCAAAACUUAAUAGUCUGAUAACCUGGGCCAAAGAUUCAGCAGUAAACGAUACACAAGUAUACAGUAAUGAUGCAGGGAAAAUAAAUAUACAUUACAUCCCAGUAUACAGCAACGGUACCACAGCAGCGAACAACAUCGUACAUUGGGUUGUUUGAUGAUAAAGGAGCUCCGAGUAUUUUGGUGCUUAUAAAAGGGCCUGUCAGCACUGGCUAAGUUUGUCCUCUGUUGCGUUGCGUGAAGAAUGACGAUGCCAAGAUUGAAGUCUGGUGUCAAAAAUUCUGGAGCCAAGAAGGUUCUAGAUAUCUCAGUUGGCUUCCGUGACCUCAACAACAUUUUAUUUCAUUGCUUCUCCUCGACUUGGACACUGCUGCCUGCUAAUUAGAAUUGAUGAAUAUAAAUGACCAUAGACCAAUAUAACACAUAGUAGAAAUUUUGUGUCGACACGACUGAUCAUGCAGGAUUUUGUUAAUGAAUAAACCAGUGAGCAAAGUUGCGCCAGACCAAUUCAUGCAAGAUGUGUACAAAUACUUGCAAAUAUUACCCUACGUCCCUAAGAAAGUACACACAAUAGUUAGGACAGAAUCUUAAUUCUCAAACAUGGAUUCAUAAACAAACCAGAGUUAUGCACCUGAGGCCUUAUUCGGUUUGGUGAGGAUCGAGGGGUAUUAAAUCCAUGAUAAGUCAAAAUCCUCCUCAUUCCCCUCCAAUCCUCUUCGGAAACUAACUAACGUUCCUAUUUCUCUCUAUACCGACUAUGCUAAACAAUAACAUCAAGAGAAAUCUUUACAGACUUACAGUAUACUGUUAGUGUUAGAUAUGAGCACAAUUCAGAGAAGCCUAGGUUUUCUUGAAAUAUUUCUCUUUCAUUUCACUUAUGCCUUUCUGCAAAAGAACACGACAAUUCACUGAAAUUACCAUGCAAAAAUCCGCUCUAUGGCAAGAUGUGUAUCUAUUCAUAGCUUGUCAAUUUAAACUGGUUACUUAAACCUAUGGAAAUGUCACUGAAACUGACAAAUGCUAAAUGCAAGACGUGUGUUAAUAAUACAAGGAAUCAGUGCCAUAAUGUGCAAGGAAAGAACAGAACCGAAUUGUAUGUAAGCUACUAUGAUUUUUUCAAGCAAUUACCGAUUCGAACUCGCGACUUUCUCUCGCCAGUGGAGGGCUUCUUCUUCAUGUAGCAGCCAUUCCAAUCACCCCCGUCCUGCGAGUAGUAAUCCAUCGGGUAUUCCCCUCCAAAAUCAUCUCCACCACAAUCACCACUACUACAAUCACCAUUUCCACAAGUUCCUGAUCCUGAACAGCACCCACUGCCACCUCCACCACCGCCAUUUUGCCUACUCCCCUUCUCCCACCACCCAGGAACAUACCCCAGUGCAACAUCAAACUCAAAUGUUGUCAGCACCGGCCUCUUGAACCCCUCCCCCCAAUCGAUCGACAACCGAGGGCACGCAAUCUGCACCCAUGCAUCCACAGAAUCCCCGAAUAGCUCCAUCCUCGUCGGGGAGAGCUCCGACAUGAGCACCACCGUGUGUUCCAAACCUUUCUCCUCCAGAUGCUCCACCACCCGGUCAAGAACCUUCAAGCUCCCCUGGCGGCCCAGCGUGCCGAGCACAACCCCCCAGCUCUUGGCCUUCCUCGCCGCCAGCACCGCCUCCUUCCUCGCCUGCUUCAUCCCAACAUGGUCAUACUCCUCCAGCACAAGCACACCAAGAAAGGGAUCGAACCGGUAGGCCUUCACCGCAGGGUUGGCAAUCAUGAAGGCCUCGAGGUGGAACCUGCCAUCGGCGACGAACACCACCACGCCCACCCCCUCCGCCUUCUUCAGCGUAGGCGCCGUACACCCGAGGAUCUCGCCGGCAGAGAGCGGCUUGGCCUGCGGCACAACGAUGUCGCGGUAGCCGUCCCGCGUGAGCAUCUCGCGCGCCGCGUGCACCGCGGCGAUGAACUGCACGGUGCCGGCGAGAGCGAGGCGGGGCGCGGCGUCAGGGUCCGGGAAGGCGCCCCGGACGGCGGCGGCGAGGCGGAGCGCGUCGACGCGGAUCUCGACGAAGACGUAGAGCACGGGGAGGAGUGAGGAUGUGACGGGGACGAGGCAGGAGUGGCCGUAGUGGACGAGGAGGUCGGCGGCGAGGGCCUUGGCGGGGCGGUCGCCGAGGCAGCAGGCGCCGUAGGUGGGGUCGGCGAGGAUGAGGACGUCGUUGGAGGGGUCCUCGGCGAGGAAGGGGCCGAGGAGGUGGGAGAGGGGCAGCGAGAAGAGGAGCAGGCCCUCCGGGAGCUGCAGCGCGGCGCGGCGCGCGCCCGAGGAGCGGAUGCGGUGCGCCGUCUUGUGGAGCUCGAAGUUGUAGGCGGCCGGGAGGAGCGAGGUGGCGGCGGCGGCGAGGGUGGGGUCGUUGAGGAUGGAGACCGGGAUCGGGGUGUGGAUGAAGCGCUUGGGGGCCGGCUUCUUCUUGGCGCUGCUCUGGAGCGCGUCCACCGCGGUGACGGCGAGCGAGGUGGAGGGGUCGCCGGCGUCCAUGGUGGCGGCGGCGGGUGGGGAGAGACGGGAAGAGGGGUUUGCUUAGCAAUACGAGACGACACGGAACCUCCUCCCCAAGAGGAGCAGCAGCAAGAGAAGGCCCAUCCACACUGCGAAAAAUGCAUAGCCCUGCUGUAUAAUGGGCCAAAAUAAUUUUCUUUUGGCCCACUUUAACUCGUCGUCUUCUUCCUUUCUUCCCAUUGUCAUUCUUCGGGGAAAUUCUAAUUUUGUUUUUCAAGAAACUUUAAACACAUUCAUAAUCAAUCAUGAACGCCAACUAUAAUAAUUUUACAAUAAGGUCCAUGGACCACGUAGCAAUGAAUAAAAGUGCUGAAGCGAGUCGAAGAUGUGCCACCAUCAUCGCUUUUCCCUCACUGGAGCUUAGCAAACUUUGUUGUAGUAGACAGUUCAAAGUCAUCGUGCUAAGGCCUCAAGGACCAGCGAACUAGCACCGUUGAAGUGACUCGCAAAUUGAAAAGAUCAAAUAUGUAAACACAUAAAACGAAGACUGUAUCCAAAAGAGAUCCACCGAAGAUCAACACCGACCGAAUCCUGGGAAAUCGGACGAAGACACACCUUCACACACCCUCCAAUAACAUUGGACACACCACCAGAACAGGGAUUAAACGUGGGAGACAUCAUUCCUACUAAAGGGUAUCGCCGCCGUCACACAACCUCCACCAAGACGUUGAACUUAACAAGAAUUCAUCGGCAAAAUCCUAUCCGAUGCUAAUAGCUUCGAAUAGUCACUUCUGGUCAUCAACAACUAUCAGCUUUUGCCAAUCCUAGCUGUUGCCGCCAUAGCUUCUCUACACAUUGCGGCCUCAACCCCCCUUCUCUUCCUUGUCUGGUGCCCUCAUUGGCGGCAAGAGGAGUGGUGCUCACAUGUCUCAUUUUCUUGUCCUUAGGUUUUUGUUCCCCUAGGAACAUCGACGAGUUGUUGGUGGCAUAACAUGUUGGAAUAAGGUUUCUUCGAUCUCUCCCUAACUCGACGGCAUCUGAUCCGGCAUCGACGGAGGGUCUGUGAGAGUUUGUGUCCUCGGAUCUGUUGGUUCCCAUCAGAUAUUAGCAGUUGUAUGUGUUUUUCAAGGAGAGUUAUGGCUGGCUAUUGGUGCAGCGGUUUUGACAUCUUCCUCCAUGUUGUUCUAUGACAUGGUCCGGAUUCUUCAUUCUUCAACCCUGUGAACUACGUGGGGUGAUGCUCCAACCAACGUUGCUUCAGUGAUUUAUAAAUCUCGCCUCAAGGGUCGAGUGGCUAUUGCGGUCUUCAAAGCCUGGUACAGUGAUAGCAUUUGUAGGUAAACAUGUCCUUUACUAUUAGUUUAUUGUAAUUUUUAGUCUGCAUCGGACACCGUACAAUCGAGGAAGAAGAAGGUUAUUAUGAUUUUCGAUGUAAUUUAUUUUUUACUGCUCGUUCUACAUUGUGUUGUCUUUACAUUGUACUAGUUUUUGUUUUCCUUGAUAUUAAUCUGAUUUAAGAUGCCUUUGGAUGCCUUUACUAAGAAAGAAAAAAGUCAUUGAACACAGAUGAUCUGUACAUUCUGGUCUCGCCAAUUUCAACUGUUUUUUUUGUGGUCUUUGUUUUUCACUCGCUUAUUUUUUGGUUUUUCUCAGUCUAUUCUCUAUUGAUUCUUGUCAGCUUUUUUGGUUUAUUGAUUGAAUUUUUAUGUUUUCUCUUUUUUAAAAUUUAUUUAAUUUAUUUUUAUUUUUGCCUGUUUUUACUAAUGAGCCAAAAUCUUAUAUAUAAACAUUUUCAAAUACAUUGUAAACAUUUUGUGUAAAAUGGCAAUAGUUUUUAAUACAUGUUGAAUAUUUUAAAAACAUGAUGAACAAUUUUUAGAUACACGAAGAAUCCUUUUCAAUACAUGAUGAACUUUUUUAUACACACUGAUAUUUUUGCACAUACCGUCAACAUUUUAUAUAUGCGUGAUGAUUUUUGAAAGAAAAUUCAUAAUUUUAUAAAAUGUCCACACACUUUAAAACCAUACAACUAGAUUUUUUUGUUGACAUUUUUAUAAAAAGUGUUUUUGUUUAAAACAAUAAAUACCGUACAGCGCGAGCCCAAACUGGAUGUGCCUGGUGCGCCACCCCCCCUCUCAUUGGUUAAAAAUGGAGAACUAUGCACGGGUUGGUGCCGUGGGAGAUCACCGAACAGAUGAUCCGCAAUACUUAUGUAACACUUUGGCAACAUUAAAUCUCAAGGGAAAAUAAACGAGAGUCUCAAUUGUUUGCCGCCAACACAGAAAUAGGGCUCUCCAAAGUCCAAACCUCUCUUAUAAUCCGUACAGAACCAUACAAAUCUCACUUAUAAUUGCUUGUCAAGAAGUUGCUCGGCAAACGGGAAGGAAGAUGCUUGUCAAGAAGUUGCUCCAACGACUGAAUAAGCAGACCAUCGUUUUGUCCUUAAUUAAAAUUUAAUAUCUGAAUCUUAAUUAAUUUGGAAGCAUUUGGCACCUCCGCAGAAUUCAAACCCUGCAAGCCAACAAAAAUCAGGUUCCGAAAGCAAUUCAGAAACAGCUGCGUCAAGCGAGCCAAAGUUAAGCUUCAUUAUAGGGGCAGCCGCUCUGCUCUCCCCUGCUUGACUGUAGAAUGUGUUGAGUUGCUGCUUGUACCAAGUACCAAGUGAUUGAUAUCCUAGGGGAACACAUCAUCUCAUCCAUAUGAUUUGUUGAUUGAAUUUGAACCAUUGUAGAUGUAGAUGGCUGGGUGGAAAUCUCAGGAAUAUUUCUCAUCGAAAACAGUAGUAUCAACUAUGAAGGUUUACUUGCACAAGAAUGACUGGAAACUAUGACAAUGUUCACUGACUUCAAGGGAUGUUCCAUAUGAUAUAUGAAAGAGAUCAUAGAUAGUGCAAGCAAUCGUGCUAAUUCAUGUAAAGUUCCCAUGGAUUGGGAGAUACUGCUGCGGAACUUCAGCAAGUCAGAUGGCCAUGAAGGCAGUGGGCCAAAAAGUCCUCAGCUACAACUAGAAAAGGAGAAGAGAAAAAAUAAAAUCAUUGCUUCUGUCAAUCUCCAUCUAGCAAAGGUGAAGGGCGCGGUCUUGUAGUUUGAUUAGCGAGUAAGAGCACACCGGAUCCGUCUCUUUUUCUUCCUUUUUCCUAUCAUUUCAACCAUUGGUUAGCUUUUUUUUAGCAGUAACUGUCAACGUCUCCCUGCGGCCCUGUGGGCUAAAUUUGCUACAUUCUCGUCUAUCUGACUCGGGACGACGACGACACCAUGUGUUGUAAGCUGAAUAAUUAUCUGUGAUGGGAAUGAAUAAGCAGGGUAUUGUUUUGUUCCGAAUACAAAGUUCCGUUCCCAAUUUGGCACCUCCUCAGAAAUUCAAACUCGGAGCCCCGAGCUAAAAAACUGUGUCUGCGUCUUGAACGGGACCCAGAACAAGCAAAUCCUAUGUCGUUGUGUACUUGUGUUAUGUGCCAGUUCGAGCGUAGCACAGCAUACGUAGGACUGGAAUCGGGAUUAGCAGUCGGAAUUGAAAAUUGCUAGGCAAAGUGGGAUUAGGUGCUUUUCUUUUUGAGAUGGAACCAUAUUUAUUCCAUUAACCAAAUAGCUCAGCAAGAUCGCUGGCAAUCAAGUUGUGCACGAAAUCAGGAGCUCCAUCCGGCUGGGGAAGGGAGUCCCGAGCCUGCAACGAACAUCGCAAGAGCGUCUGCAACUUUAUUACAAGCCCGCGGGCAAAACGAAGUGCGAAAGAAAUUGAAAUUCAAACGUGCAAAACACUUAAUCUCUCUGAAGAGAAUUCCAUUCACUCCCAUAUCAUGAUCAGUGGUGGUCAGAGCUUGCACCAGCGUUGACGCAUCAGUUUGCACAUGGACCUCUGAUAAUCCCCACGACUGGGCAGCCUGUAGGCUUUGAAAGCAUGCUGCAUGAAUCCCGCUCCCGCACCUAUUGCUUGACCUUGUGCAUCUGUGAUAGUGAAAGCCCCAGCCACCAGUUCCCUGUUCUUCAGACAUACUUCCAUCAAAUAUUAAUUUUAAGGGCGUUCUCACCUACUCCCUCCGUCCGCGAAUAAGUGUACUUCUAGCUUUUGUCCUAAGUCAAAGUUUUAAAACUUUGACCAACUAUAUACAAAAACGUAGUAACAUAUAUGAUAUCAAAUUGAUAUAUUAUGUGUCAUAAACAAAUCUAGUGAUACUAAUUUAGUGUCAUAAAUGCUGCUACUUUUUUCCAUAAAGUUGGUCAAAGUUUUAAAACUUUGACUUAAGACAAAAGCUAGAAGUACACUUAUUCGCGGACGGAGGGAGUAGCAGUUUCCACCUAGUUUCUGACACGCUCUGGACCUCCUUCUUAUCCCCAAAUAGCUUGUAAUCUUGCACCCAGACUCGUACUCUCUUCAUGACAGACAAUGGCGGAGCUAUAUGUAUAGCUGAGGGGGCUGUCGAAAAGUGCCUGCAGCUCCCGAGCUUCAUUGCUCUUUGAUAUUUGAAUUUUUUGAAAAACACACUUUCGAUGCUCAAAAAAAUCUUAAAACAAAUAUGUGAUUACGUACACAUAUUCCUAAAGACUGGUAGAAAUCUAGAGAUGAAAUACUUUGUAUUUUGGGAAAUACAAAAAAGAGAAAUUUCCGACCGAAAUGGCACCUUUUUUCUCCUAUAUACUGUCAGAAAUUUGUUUUUUUCUAUAGUCCAAGAAAAGAGAUUUGUACCGAAACUUGCAACGGGUAUUCGGAAUGUGUAUAUGCAUCCCGGGAAAUAAUUUCACAUUUUUUUGAAACUUCAAAAAUACGAAUUUGAAAAAGUCAAAUAUAGAGAGCACCGGUGCUCGGGUGCUGCAACGCCGCUCUCANNNNNNNNNNNNNNNNNNNNNNNNNNNNNNNNNNNNNNNNNNNNNNNNNNNNNNNNNNNNNNNNNNNNNNNNNNNNNNNNNNNNNNNNNNNNNNNNNNNNNNNNNNNNNNNNNNNNNNNNNNNNNNNNNNNNNNNNNNNNNNNNNNNNNNNNNNNNNNNNNNNNNNNNNNNNNNNNNNNNNNNNNNNNNNNNNNNNNNNNNNNNNNNNNNNNNNNNNNNNNNNNNNNNNNNNNNNNNNNNNNNNNNNNNNNNNNNNNNNNNNNNNNNNNNNNNNNNNNNNNNNNNNNNNNNNNNNNNNNNNNNNNNNNNNNNNNNNNNNNNNNNNNNNNNNNNNNNNNNNNNNNNNNNNNNNNNNNNNNNNNNNNNNNNNNNNNNNNNNNNNNNNNNNNNNNNNNNNNNNNNNNNNNNNNNNNNNNNNNNNNNNNNNNNNNNNNNNNNNNNNNNNNNNNNNNNNNNNNNNNNNNNNNNNNNNNNNNNNNNNNNNNNNNNNNNNNNNNNNNNNNNNNNNNNNNNNNNNNNNNNNNNNNNNNNNNNNUGCUUUUUGCCCCCCUGACAUUGCAGUCAAGCUCCGCCACUGAUUGACAGAACUGGUAUUCUCAUUGGCUCUCUUGUGUUCUUUUUAUUUCUUACAUCCCACCACACCCACAACAUAGUAAUACAUUCAAGUUUGUUCUCUUCUAGUAGAGCUAAUAUUUUACUGACCAAAUCCUUUGGCCCUUGAUUGUGCAGUAGCCCUACUCUAGUCUGCUCCAGUUCUAGUUCUCUCCACAGCGGCUUGACAAACUUACAUUUCAAGAAAAUGUGUGCCCCAUCCUCGUCCUGCCUCGAACAUACUGGGCAAAGUCGAUGAUCAAUACUAAGCUUAUGCGGGAGACUGUUGUGAGCAAGCCGCCAUAGGAAGUGCUUCAGUUUCGGAGGACAUUUGCUUGCCCAUAUAUCACGGAGCAUGUGGUAUGCAGUUUUAACUGAAAACUUUCCAUGCGAAUCAAAAUGCCAUGCCUAGAAAUCUUCAAAAUCUUCAUAGAGUGCCGGUAAGGCAAGAAUUGCUCUAGCAUCCUGGGGCAGAAGAUUCCAUUUACUAGAUUUUCAUGCCAACCACCUGUCACUGGAUUGAUCAGUUCCGAAACCUUCUGGAGCACAACAUGUCCCCUUUGUGUAACCACCUUUCUGCAGUCAUCCCGGGGUAGCCAAGGGUCAUCCCAAAUAUCUGUGCUUUCGCCAUCACCGAUACGACAUCUAUGUUUCUAAGAUUCUUGUGGUCACUAAAAUUUUCGGUGUUCUUCUCGACAAAGGGUGGAUUUUAUUGCCUCUUGAAAGGACAUGCGGUGCCCCCAUGUGUGGUUUUGGUAAUUGAUGACAUACUCUAUGGACUAAUGAUUGCAUUGAGUUAUAUUUGAAGGAUUUUUCCAUAGGCAUUUCUUGAAGUCCAUGUGUUGGUUUCAAGGAGUUUAUGGGUUGAUCAAGGUGCUAUUAAGGAAUUAUCCAAAGAUUGGUCAUGUGAGUGUUGAGCUUAUUGCAAGCAUGUCUUGAAGAAGAAGAUUGUGUGAUCAUUCAUGUUUACCUUCAAGACAUCAUCCAAACGAAGAGAGUUGGAAAGACUCAAGGUUGAUCAAGACUAAGUCAAGAGUGAAUCAAGUUGAUCAACUCACAAAGAGUAGAAGAUGUACCGAGAGGGAUCAAGUGAUCCCAUGGUAUGGUAAGCAUUGUCCAUUGCACUUUGUGUACUAACCCAUGGUCUAUGUGAGAGUCUAUGUAGGGUUAGGUACGUGUCCAUGGGCUUGCGUCAAGAGGAUGAUAUCAUACAACCCAUGGGCACUAGUAGAAAAAGGGUCAAACGUGAAGCACAUUAGUGCCGGUUUGAAUUUGAGCCGGCACUAAUGUGUACAUUAGUGUCGGUUCCAACGGCUAGCCGGGCCGCUCUCAUUAGUAUCGGUUCGUGGCGAACCUUUAGCACCGGUCCGUGCCACGAACCGGUACUAAAGUGAGUGGUGGCAGGAUGUUGUCAGUCCGGGGCCCCUUCAGCACCUUUAGUACCGGGUCGUAUCACGAACCGGUACUAAAGGUCGUCCUACAUAGACCCUUCGUCCACCCGAGCUCGCUCUGUUCUUCCCCUUUCCCCUCUCCUCUCUGUUCUUUUCCCUCUUCCUCUCAAGCUCAUCACACAUUUUGCUCAAGAUUUGAAGGCCCCCGUCCAUUCAAAUGAUCACAAAGGUUAGCAACUCUUUCCUUUCAUCUCUCAUUGCUAGAUUAGCUCGUGCAAUGCUUUAUAUAGUAAUUGAUUUUUGAGUUUAGUAAUUUGGGAGGAAUUAUAUAUAUGUGCUAUAUUUGAUUUAUAUGCAAUUUGAGGUCAAAAAUAACACUUAGUUUUGCAUAUGUAGGUGUGGUUUACUUAGUACCUUCUAAAUCUCCGUCUUAACCACCGUCGAUCGCUCGCAACGUCCCAUCGUCGGCACCACCUUGUGGUGAGCCUCUUGUUCAUGAAGUUUUAUAUAAAAAAAAUGAUGUUUGUGUGAUUUGGAUAUAUAGUUACUCGUAUAAUUAUCUUACCCAUACGUUGUUUGUUAUGCAUAGUGCUUUGGUUUUGAUAUAUGUCCCCGUCGGCCCUCGUCCGGGUUAUGAUUCGGAUGUGGUAUAUUCUCUUUUAAAACUAUUCAUUGCAUUUCGUACUUAUGACAAAUUAUGCCCAUCAAGUUGACAUAGAUAUUUGUAUGUAAGAGGUAGUUGAACCCGAAAUUCCAACCGACCCUAUUGUCGAGAGGUUAAAUUUAGUUGAAAGAGAAAACGAGGAUUUGAAGGAAAAAUUGAAAAGAAUUGAGGGGGAGAAGAUGGAAUUGGAGUUGCAUGUUGCCGAUGUCGUAGAUGAUCACAAGAUUAAGAUGGAGAAAAUGCGCUUGAAGAUUUGAAAGAUUAGAAAAUAUGCCAUUCAUAGUGAGGCUUGGUAUCAUUAUGUUGUUGGAUCAAUUGUUACCUUAGUUGCGAUCUUGAUCGCAUUUGUUGUUGCAUUUAAAUUCUUUAGCUAGAGAGUUAUUUGUUUGUUGCAUUGAAGUGUUGUAUGCUCUUUAUGUAUGAACUUUAUGUAUUGUAUUAAUUUGAUGUUUUCGGUGCUGUGUAUUGAAGAUGAGCCGGCAAUGUAUGUACGAUGACCGAUGCUCUCCCGAGUUCAUUAAUGGCGUGCGUACUUUUCUGCUUGCGGCUGAGGCAAACAAGCGAGCGGAUGGUUUUAUGCAUUGUCCAUGUGCUGGCUGGAAGGAUGACAUCAAGUGGUGAUCGUCAUCAAGAUUGUCGUGUGCAAGUUCAAGUGGAGAAUCACGAAGAGAUCAAGUGCUUGAAGCUUGCCAUCCAUUGUGGUGUCAAUGGACUUGUGAACAUGUGCCGAAGAGUGGCUCAUCCAUAAUGGAGUAUGGGGGAGCAAUCAUCUAGUCUCCAUCGACCCAACGCAAUCAAGAAAGGUGGUCCAUCUUGAGGAGGACAAGAUCGUCAUCAUUUAGCUCAAGUGGAUCAUGUGCAAGGCAAAGGUUGUAACACCCCGGUGUAAUGAUGCUACAGUAACCCCUGGGGUUAAGUUAAUCUUUUUGCUAAACAUGUGCCUGAUCAUUAUUGUCUCAUGUUCUUUCACAUUCCAGUUGAAUUCAAAUUCAAAUUUUGUCUGAAAUUCAAAAUGCUCAGACAUGAAAACAAAAAUGUUCAUCAUGUGCAGAAUAUUCCACAACUAAUAUUGGUGGUGAACCAACAUUUUUGCAAAAAGGUUUGAGUGGCCUAAGCUACUUCAAACAGUGGCCUAAGAAAUAAAUUAAAUGCCUUUUUAAUUUAUGAAAAUGGCAAACUAUUUCUAAAGCCUCACAAUCUUUUUUGGCAGUGCCUAAUAAUUCUUUGAGAUUAUUUUGUCCAAUGGCAUAAUUUUUGCAAAGUCUUUAUUGGCUAAAAGAAAAAGAAAAGAAAAUGCAAAAGCUGUUUACAAAAAAAAAA
Molecule: long non-coding RNA, 25978 nt
Filed under: Triticum aestivum (bread wheat)
Lineage: Eukaryota; Viridiplantae; Streptophyta; Magnoliopsida; Poales; Poaceae
Description: long non-coding RNA (TAES_LNC010917)
Source: RNAcentral